Long non-coding RNA from Drosophila simulans, 573 nucleotides. RefSeq lists it as uncharacterized. The transcript is spliced from 2 exons. The record is from RefSeq and is a predicted model, not a curated record. Lineage: Eukaryota; Metazoa; Arthropoda; Insecta; Diptera; Drosophilidae.
ACUUGAUCCUGUUCGCCUGCGCAUCUAAAACACCACAUAAGAUAUUUAAGCAAAUACAAUAAACAAUGUAUCUUCCAAUGCCUACCUUAGGAAAACAUCCUCCAGGGAGGUGUCCGUCAUGGAAAUUGCAUACGGCAGGCAGAUAUACACAGUAGGAUUCACCACAUUCUGUUCAACGUUUAAAGGAUAUUAUGCACACGCCUUACAUAUAGUUAAUUGAUGACUUACCAAGACUCUGGCUGAUGGCACGAAGUUAUGGAUUAUUUCCAUGAUUUCGCCUUCUCUUGCUGCAAAAUCGUUGAUCUCUAAUUUGAGGCGAUAACCAAUUCCCGAUUUGCGUUUUAAUUCCAAAGGACUUCCGAUGCUCUGCAGUUUGCCAUUGGCCAAUAUGCAGAUGGUAUCCCCAAGGACCUCGGCCUCCUCCAUGUAGUGCGUGGUGACCAGAAUGGCCUUCUCCUUGCGUAGAUUAAGUAGAAUGUCCCACAGCUCACGACGCGAGUUAAUGUCCAAUCCCGAUGAUGGUUCGUCAAGGAUUACGAUUCUGCGAGAUUAAACAAAGAUUUUUAAACCGAA